GUGCCAGCAGCCGCGGUAAUACGGAGGGGGCGAGCGUUAUUCGGAAUCAUUGGGCGUAAAGGGUAGGUAGGUGGUCUCGUUUGUCUGAGGUGAAAGCCCUGGGCUUAACCUGGGAAGUGCCUUGGAAACGGCGAGACUUGAGUCCUGGAGAGGGUCGCGGAAUACCUGGUGUAGCGGUGAAAUGCGUAGAGAUCAGGUGGAAUACCAGAGGCGAAGGCGGCGACCUGGACAGGCACUGACACUCAACUACGAAAGCGUGGGGAUCAAACAGGAUUAGAUACCCUGGUAGUCCACGCUGUAAACGAUCGGUACUAGGUUAAGUGGGUAUUGACCCCUGCUGAGCCGGAGCUAACGCGAUAAGUACCGCGCCUGGGGAGUACGGUCGCAAGACUAAAACUCAAAGGAAUUGACGG
RNAcentral lists this ribosomal RNA (413 nucleotides) under uncultured bacterium. RNAcentral's name for it is "bacterial SSU rRNA". It matches the Rfam family "Bacterial small subunit ribosomal RNA", at positions 505 to 916 of the family's 1533-position model. The record is from RNAcentral.